GGGUUAGUAGAUUGGUCAUGCCACUGGUAUGUACUGGUCUUACUGGCUCCUCCUUCCUGAUGAACCGUAGUGCCAUUAAUUUGGUGUUGCGGGGAGACUGGACUGUUACUUUGAAAAAAUUAGAGUGUUUAAAGCAGGCUAAUGCUUGAAUACGUUAGCAUGGAAUAAUGAAAUAGGACGUUCGAUCCUAUUUUGUUGGUUUCUAGGAUUGACGUA
RNAcentral lists this ribosomal RNA (216 nucleotides) under Glomus sp. Its description in RNAcentral is "partial small subunit ribosomal RNA". It matches the Rfam family "Eukaryotic small subunit ribosomal RNA", at positions 644 to 864 of the family's 1831-position model. Lineage: Eukaryota; Fungi; Glomeromycota; Glomeromycetes; Glomerales; Glomeraceae. The record is from RNAcentral.